Molecule: ribosomal RNA, 1527 nt
Filed under: Lactiplantibacillus plantarum
Lineage: Bacteria; Bacillati; Bacillota; Bacilli; Lactobacillales; Lactobacillaceae
Description: Lactobacillus plantarum partial 16S ribosomal RNA
Rfam family: Bacterial small subunit ribosomal RNA
Source: RNAcentral
UAGAGUUUGAUCCUGGCUCAGGACGAACGCUGGCGGCGUGCCUAAUACAUGCAAGUCGAACGAACUCUGGUAUUGAUUGGUGCUUGCAUCAUGAUUUACAUUUGAGUGAGUGGCGAACUGGUGAGUAACACGUGGGAAACCUGCCCAGAAGCGGGGGAUAACACCUGGAAACAGAUGCUAAUACCGCAUAACAACUUGGACCGCAUGGUCCGAGUUUGAAAGAUGGCUUCGGCUAUCACUUUUGGAUGGUCCCGCGGCGUAUUAGCUAGAUGGUGGGGUAACGGCUCACCAUGGCAAUGAUACGUAGCCGACCUGAGAGGGUAAUCGGCCACAUUGGGACUGAGACACGGCCCAAACUCCUACGGGAGGCAGCAGUAGGGAAUCUUCCACAAUGGACGAAAGUCUGAUGGAGCAACGCCGCGUGAGUGAAGAAGGGUUUCGGCUCGUAAAACUCUGUUGUUAAAGAAGAACAUAUCUGAGAGUAACUGUUCAGGUAUUGACGGUAUUUAACCAGAAAGCCACGGCUAACUACGUGCCAGCAGCCGCGGUAAUACGUAGGUGGCAAGCGUUGUCCGGAUUUAUUGGGCGUAAAGCGAGCGCAGGCGGUUUUUUAAGUCUGAUGUGAAAGCCUUCGGCUCAACCGAAGAAGUGCAUCGGAAACUGGGAAACUUGAGUGCAGAAGAGGACAGUGGAACUCCAUGUGUAGCGGUGAAAUGCGUAGAUAUAUGGAAGAACACCAGUGGCGAAGGCGGCUGUCUGGUCUGUAACUGACGCUGAGGCUCGAAAGUAUGGGUAGCAAACAGGAUUAGAUACCCUGGUAGUCCAUACCGUAAACGAUGAAUGCUAAGUGUUGGAGGGUUUCCGCCCUUCAGUGCUGCAGCUAACGCAUUAAGCAUUCCGCCUGGGGAGUACGGCCGCAAGGCUGAAACUCAAAGGAAUUGACGGGGGCCCGCACAAGCGGUGGAGCAUGUGGUUUAAUUCGAAGCUACGCGAAGAACCUUACCAGGUCUUGACAUACUAUGCAAAUCUAAGAGAUUAGACGUUCCCUUCGGGGACAUGGAUACAGGUGGUGCAUGGUUGUCGUCAGCUCGUGUCGUGAGAUGUUGGGUUAAGUCCCGCAACGAGCGCAACCCUUAUUAUCAGUUGCCAGCAUUAAGUUGGGCACUCUGGUGAGACUGCCGGUGACAAACCGGAGGAAGGUGGGGAUGACGUCAAAUCAUCAUGCCCCUUAUGACCUGGGCUACACACGUGCUACAAUGGAUGGUACAACGAGUUGCGAACUCGCGAGAGUAAGCUAAUCUCUUAAAGCCAUUCUCAGUUCGGAUUGUAGGCUGCAACUCGCCUACAUGAAGUCGGAAUCGCUAGUAAUCGCGGAUCAGCAUGCCGCGGUGAAUACGUUCCCGGGCCUUGUACACACCGCCCGUCACACCAUGAGAGUUUGUAACACCCAAAGUCGGUGGGGUAACCUUUUAGGAACCAGCCGCCUAAGGUGGGACAAAUGAUUAGGGUGAAGUCGUAACAAGGUAA